This 560-nucleotide ribosomal RNA is filed under the name Citrobacter sp. CK199. Its description in RNAcentral is "partial 23S ribosomal RNA". It matches the Rfam family "Bacterial large subunit ribosomal RNA", at positions 657 to 1215 of the family's 2925-position model. The record is from RNAcentral. RNAcentral also lists the same sequence under 1 other name. Lineage: Bacteria; Pseudomonadati; Pseudomonadota; Gammaproteobacteria; Enterobacterales; Enterobacteriaceae.
AUAGGGGAGCCGAAGGGAAACCGAGUCUUAACUGGGCGUUAAGUUGCAGGGUAUAGACCCGAAACCCGGUGAUCUAGCCAUGGGCAGGUUGAAGGUUGGGUAACACUAACUGGAGGACCGAACCGACUAAUGUUGAAAAAUUAGCGGAUGACCUGUGGCUGGGGGUGAAAGGCCAAUCAAACCGGGAGAUAGCUGGUUCUCCCCGAAAGCUAUUUAGGUAGCGCCUCGUGAAUUCAUCUCCGGGGGUAGAGCACUGUUUCGGCUAGGGGGCCAUCCCGGCUUACCAACCCGAUGCAAACUGCGAAUACCGGAGAAUGUUAUCACGGGAGACACACGGCGGGUGCUAACGUCCGUCGUGAAGAGGGAAACAACCCAGACCGCCAGCUAAGGUCCCAAAGUCAUGGUUAAGUGGGAAACGAUGUGGGAAGGCCCAGACAGCCAGGAUGUUGGCUUAGAAGCAGCCAUCAUUUAAAGAAAGCGUAAUAGCUCACUGGUCGAGUCGGCCUGCGCGGAAGAUGUAACGGGGCUAAACCAUGCACCGAAGCUGCGGCAGCGACACU